RNAcentral lists this ribosomal RNA (492 nucleotides) under uncultured bacterium. Its description in RNAcentral is "partial 16S ribosomal RNA". It matches the Rfam family "Bacterial small subunit ribosomal RNA", at positions 29 to 507 of the family's 1533-position model. The record is from RNAcentral.
AGUGAACGCUGGCGGUAGGCCUAACACAUGCAAGUCGAACGGCAGCACAGUAAGAGCUUGCUCUUACGGGUGGCGAGUGGCGGACGGGUGAGGAAUACAUCGGAAUCUACUUUUUCGUGGGGGAUAACGUAGGGAAACUUACGCUAAUACCGCAUACGACCUACGGGUGAAAGCAGGGGAUCUUCGGACCUUGCGCGAUUGAAUGAGCCGAUGUCGGAUUAGCUAGUUGGCGGGGUAAAGGCCCACCAAGGCGACGAUCCGUAGCUGGUCUGAGAGGAUGAUCGGCCACACUGGAACUGAGACACGGUCCAGACUCCUACGGGAGGCAGCAGUGGGGAAUAUUGGACAAUGGGCGCAAGCCUGAUCCAGCCAUACCGCGUGGGUGAAGAAAGCCUUCGGGUUGUAAAGCCCUUUUGUUGGGAAAGAAAAGCAGCAGGUUAAUACCCCGCUGUUCUGACGGUACCCAAAGAAUAAGCACCGGCUAACUUCGUG